AACGAACGCUGGCGGCAUGCCUAACACAUGCAAGUCGAACGAGAAGUUCGGGUCUAGUGGAGAACGGGGGCGUAACGCGUGGGAACAUGCCAGUAAGUUCGGAAUAACUCCCCGAAAGGGGUGCUAAUACCGGAUAAUGUCUUCAGAUGUACGCUUUUUCGCCUUUGGAGGGGCGCGCGUUGGUUUAGCUAGGUGGUAUGGUAUAAGCCGACCACGGCGACGAGCCAUAGCUGGUCGGUGAGGAGGCUCAGCCAGACUGGGACUGGGCCACGGCCCAUACUGCUACGGGAGGCAGCAGUGGGGGAUAUUGGACAGCGAGCCAGAUCCAGAUCCGCCGCGGGCGCGUGAGCGAUCAAGGCGUUAUGGUCCGAAAUCUCUUUUAACCGGGAUUAUAGUGACGGUACCUGCAGAAUAAGCACCGGCUAACUCCGUG
Molecule: ribosomal RNA, 433 nt
Filed under: uncultured bacterium
Lineage: Bacteria
Description: partial 16S ribosomal RNA
Rfam family: Bacterial small subunit ribosomal RNA
Source: RNAcentral